Molecule: small nucleolar RNA, 323 nt
Filed under: Dicentrarchus labrax (European seabass)
Lineage: Eukaryota; Metazoa; Chordata; Actinopteri; Moronidae
Source: RNAcentral
GCCCACUGAUGAGAUUAUGGCAAGUUUGAUGAUCCAGACAGACCAAGAGAUUGUGGUCUCUAGCCUGCUGUUAGAUGGGUAAUCUUGGUAGUGUGGUGGAGUUUUACUGCAUUGCUGUAAGGGCCCAUCCACAGUUAACAUGUCACCUUCUAUAACCCCUGCCCCCCUCCAAGAGCAAUGGGACGGGACAGAUAGAAGAUGUCAAACAAUGUGCGGAUGUUUGUGUGUGUUUUAGUAUGAAUGUAUAUGUAUCAGCUGGCAAGAGGCUACAGUCUCAUUAUUGGUUUGGCGGGUAUGAAGUACUCUUUGGUAAUCUGAGGGCA